Acyrthosiphon pisum (pea aphid) is the source of this 423-nucleotide long non-coding RNA. RefSeq lists it as uncharacterized. Lineage: Eukaryota; Metazoa; Arthropoda; Insecta; Hemiptera; Aphididae. The record is from RefSeq and is a predicted model, not a curated record. The transcript is spliced from 3 exons.
CCGUCGCGUUCGCUCACGUUAUUAUAACGCCCACGUACUCGUUUGUACGUGCCUCGUUUGCCGCCGCGCAAGUACGUUCCCUUCAGACCAUCGCGAUAUCCAUCCUGUACGGCCAUACGAGCGUGCGUCCCCUUUGCCGUCGUAACGACUAACCGUUCGGGCAAUACGAGUGAGCGUUUUUCUUCUGCCGCAAACAUUAUCGGCCGACAGUCGUAAUAUACUCGCUGACGAUUUCGCCUACGAGUUGCCGUGCUAAGACAUCCAAGCCCUGGACUUCAUAAAUAUAGGUACAAUUUAAAAUGCGACAUGUCAACAUUCAACAAAACUUUACACAAGUGGUUGAAGCUGAUGAAUUCCUAUCACUAUCAUCUGAAAAGUUACUUAAGUUCAUCCCCAGUGAUGAGCUUACGGUGCUAUCUGAAG